GCCCAGCGACCCAAGCCACUCCCCUGCUCCGUGCUCUCCGCUCGCCGUUGACCACGACGCCGCCGGCAUGGAUCGAGUCGAGGAGCCGUUCCCGCGCGCCGCUGCUCCUCCGGAUGCCGGCUCUGGCGUGCCGCCGCCGCCCCCGGCCUGCGUCUCGUGAAGACAGAAGCCGGAGGGUUGCAGAUUCUUGCUGAACCAAGGAAUUGGUUUUUAUAGGGGAAUGAAUGAUAAUCAUGGGAUACAAAGCAACACAUUAGUCCAAUUUUACAGUGUACAAUGAAAUGUCGAACAGGACUGUAACAUUUCAUCACCAGGAAACACAAACCAGGUAGGAGUGGAUCACAAACUGCAACAGAACUACAGAAGUCUUCCCUCUAGCUGCUUUUAUUUACAAUCCUGAGUUUGAGUCAUAGGUUCAGCAUGAGUGCUUAUAUUUUCAUGGUUUGUUCUAAUGAUAAGCUAAGCAGCAUUAUUCUUUUAGUUGUAGGUGAAAAAUAUCCGUCAACAGAAUAAUGAAUGGUUGAGUGCAUAACUUGUGCUGGAAUGAAGUUCUUUUUUCUAAAAGGAAAUCAAAUUGUGGUAGCUGGACUUCAGCUACCAAUUCCUCUGUA
Molecule: long non-coding RNA, 611 nt
Organism: Setaria italica (foxtail millet)
Lineage: Eukaryota; Viridiplantae; Streptophyta; Magnoliopsida; Poales; Poaceae
Exons: 2
Source: RefSeq, a predicted model, not a curated record